AUAAAUUAUGCUGAAUAAUUCAAAGUAUGAUUUACUAACUAUACCACCUCUACACUACAAGUGAAACAAAAUAACAUCCUCCCUUGUACAUUUGUAUAUACAUGCUAAAUGACAAUAAUUUGUUAAAGCGCAGUCUGAAUCUUUGAAUGUGUAUAUUUAAUUAAUGCUAGACUGUGAUUUCUGAAUUAAGUUCUCACACAUAAUAAAUUGAUAUAUGAAAUCAUUUAUAUUGGUUCUCAUAUAUGCAGUUGUAAAUUUAGUGGCUAAAAUACUAUAUAAAACAGGUUAUUUAAACACCACAAGGUGGCAUGAGAGGGUUCAGAGGAGUUCCCACCCACACCCCCAGAUAUACUGUGAUUCAUGCUGUUUAUCCAGGAGCAGCCAGAUCACUAACUGGACUGAAAAAUUCACACAGAGAGAAAGAAACAGAGCUGACAGACUCACUCUCACUGUUUUUCUUUUAUGGAUUCCAGAAACAGAGAGGUGUAAAUGACUGACCAAUACAAAUUUGCACCAUGCCAAUAUUAUGAAUUCCCAGGAUGCCUAUACGCUUGGCCUUGGGAUGAUGCACUGCAUGAAUGGAACAUAAGGAUGCAACACUGAUUUAGAGCAAGCACUCAAAUAGAGGCAGUUCUAACAUGGAUUCUACUGGACUAGAGACUUCUGGAUUGUUACAUCACCAAGCAACAGAAGGACUUUCAAUGUCUUAUCGAGAAGAUAUAACAAGUGUGAAGUGCAUUUGUGAGGAUGUGUACACCUGGAAAAUUUAAUCAUAUGUUGAAUGAAUGAAUAAAUUAAAUAAUGAAA
Megalobrama amblycephala (Wuchang bream) is the source of this 807-nucleotide long non-coding RNA. RefSeq lists it as uncharacterized. The transcript is spliced from 2 exons. The record is from RefSeq and is a predicted model, not a curated record. Lineage: Eukaryota; Metazoa; Chordata; Actinopteri; Cypriniformes; Xenocyprididae.